AAUCAACGCUGGCGGCGUGCCUAAUACAUGCAAGUCGAACGCGAAAGUCCCGCAAGGGAUGAGUAGAGUGGCAAACGGGUGAGUAACGCGUGGGUGACCUGCCUUCGAGUGGGGGAUAACGUUCCGAAAGGGACGCUAAUACCGCAUGACAUCCUGCCUUUUAAGAGGUGGAGAGCAAAGCUGGGGAUCGCAAGACCUGGCGCUUGAAGAGGGGCCCGCGUCCGAUUAGCUAGUUGGUGAGGUAACGGCUCACCAAGGCGACGAUCGGUAGCCGGCCUGAGAGGGCGGACGGCCACACUGGGACUGAGACACGGCCCAGACCCCUACGGGAGGCAGCAGUAGGGAAUUGUUCGCAAUGGGCGCAAGCCUGACGACGCAACGCCGCGUGGAGGAUGAAGACCUUCGGGUCGUAAACUCCUUUCGAUCGAGACGAAUGGCCUCCGGGUGAACAAUCCGGAGGAGUGACGGUACCGAGAGAAGAAGCCCCGGCUAACUCCGUGCCAGCCGCCGCGGUAA
This 516-nucleotide ribosomal RNA is filed under the name uncultured bacterium. Its description in RNAcentral is "bacterial SSU rRNA". It matches the Rfam family "Bacterial small subunit ribosomal RNA", at positions 29 to 523 of the family's 1533-position model. The record is from RNAcentral.